RNAcentral lists this transfer RNA (70 nucleotides) under Marmota monax (woodchuck). Its description in RNAcentral is "tRNA.Ala". The record is from RNAcentral. Lineage: Eukaryota; Metazoa; Chordata; Mammalia; Rodentia; Sciuridae.
GUGCUGGGGCUCAGAGGUAGUGCACUUGCCUGGCAUGUGUGAGGCACUGGGUUCAAUUCUCAGCACCACA